This is a long non-coding RNA of Planococcus citri (citrus mealybug), 1045 nucleotides long. RefSeq lists it as uncharacterized. The record is from RefSeq and is a predicted model, not a curated record. The transcript is spliced from 2 exons. NCBI's taxonomy places the organism in Eukaryota, Metazoa, Arthropoda, Insecta, Hemiptera, Pseudococcidae.
AACAUUUACAUUAUUAAACGAGUAUGCAUAAAAUACCAAGCAUCAGUCAGAUUUUACCGUUCAACUGUAGACAAUUUCUAUUUUCUUUUCUUUUUUUUUUUUUUUUUUGUUUCGCUUUUUGAUGCACUUCUUUAGCACAAAAUACUGCUAUUGGCACAUAUAAGACCAUGUUCAGGAGACGAUUCCGUAUAUGAAAGCGAAUUCCAAGCUGCUUUGUGAGUGGGGAUUUCACGAACAAAAAUCCUUAAACAAACUAGAAAAUUUACAAAUGAACUCGUAACUCGUCGAUCGAUCGAUCUGCAAUCAAAACUUUGCUAAUGCGAAGUGUACUCUCAAAGGUCACAUGCGGUUAAUUCAUAUUCAAUUAUUUCUGAAACCUGCAUAAUUUGGAGAUCGAAGGAGCACGUGUAUCAGAAUUUCUAAAAACCCCUCAUACCUCCAGAACUGCAGGCGCAAAUCGCAAAAUAAUUUUCAAGACAACAUUGGCUUCAGUGAAUUGGCGAAAGAAGAAAGAGGAAUGAGUAUUCCAAGUCAACGUGGGAGAAGUUAUUCUUAAACUGAGAAAACAUAAUAAUAAUGUCGUUGAAAACCCACUUUCAUAUCUCAAAAAUAUAACCGAAAGUACUUUCAUCACAAGCAUGAUGAACCUACAAAAAGUACGCAAUACUCAAGCCCAUAAACACCUGUACGGAGAAGAAAGAGAACACGCUUCGGAAAAGAAUCACUUUUCCGAAGUGUGCUCUCUUUCAUCUCCAUAUAGUUGUUUAUGGGCUUGAGUAUUGCGUACUUUUUGGAGAUUCAUCAUGGUGGUGAUAAAAGUACUUUUGGAGUGUUCCCAAAUUAACAUUAAAAUGUCAAACACCUGAUAAUUUUUAUUCAUUAUAAGUUCGCUUUCACAGUGUGUUAAUCAAAAAAGUAAUCAACCAAUCUGCAUGAAAUUUUCAGGUAAAUACUAUAUUGGAAAAUUUUGUACAACAUACAUUUUUGUAUUAAAAGGAGACAACUCUACAAUUUUUCAAAUUUGAAUACGAAUCGUCUCAAUUUA